This is a small nuclear RNA of Mus spicilegus (steppe mouse), 104 nucleotides long. NCBI's taxonomy places the organism in Eukaryota, Metazoa, Chordata, Mammalia, Rodentia, Muridae. The record is from Ensembl.
GUGCUCUUUUUGGCACCAUGUAGGUUAAAAAUUGGAACAAUCAAGAGAUUACCAUGGCCUGUGCCAAGGAUGACAUGCAAAUUCAUGAAAUAUUCCAUAUUUUA